UGUGCACAUACAUUCAUUAAGAACUAAUAAUUACAUGUGUGUACAUGCAGAGGUAUUUUAGUUAUUACAGCUACAUAGUUGUUCAGAUAUGAAAUUGGUAUUAUGUACAAGUACUAUAUUGGUCAGCACCGUGGAUUAUUUUAUAUACAGCUAUCAGUAAACAUCAGCAUCAAAGACAUUUAAAAACAUUUCAGCUUAAUUCAUUUUCAGACAGCACCGAGUGUUUUAAAUAACUUCUGUUUGUGAUCUAAUGUGGAUUUUGUUCACCAUAUAAGACAGAAAUAUUUAUAUUCAAUGUAAAAGAUCUUCAUGUGGAUCAUGCAUACAAAUAUAUACAAAUAUCUCACUGGAUUAUUACAAUGAAUUGCAAAAUGAAUGUGUGGAAAUGUAAACUAAUAUAUCCUACUGACACACUACAGCAAAAGAUAUAAAUAAUUGGCUUAAAACAAUUUUUUUUCAGUUAGAAAAUACUAACAUGCCUAAUACUUCUGCACAGUACUGUAUAUAUUCACAUUUUAUUAGUGGUAUUGUAAAAGAAUGAGUAUGCAGUUGUGACAACAAUCUAUAGAGUUUGUUUAAAGCAAGGUUGUCUGUAUUCAGUGUUUAUAUAAUGUUUAAUAACUUUAAAUACAUGUAUAAAUAAACCUAUGUAUGUUUUUGAUUCAACAGCUUCCCCUGGAAAUCCUCAGUGAAUUUUAUUUUGUCAGCGGGUGACUCUGCAUAUUUGACACUUUCUCUGUUUUGCAGAUGGUUUAGUGAUGUGCUUCACUCAAGAAGUUUUUCGGAAAGCGGCACAGUUUGCCUGGCUAGACAUUGUGGCCAACUGGAAGAAUUGUCCUCCUGUCUCCUGACCGGAACGAGUUCAGACGGAUGUACAGCAUCAGGGAACGCUUGCAGUGCAGAGCCCUUUUCAAGUUUUACCCACCAGGGUACAGGGAAGAGGCCGGUGUGGUGAUCUUCUGGGCUUUUGUUUACACGGGAUUUUGUUCCAAGGACUGUGUUUUUUUUUUUUUGUUUUUUUUUUUCUCGGCAUGUAACACAUUUGUGUGUUAAGUUCAUUGAAGGGAAAUAGUUGAACUGAGAUCAACUGGUUUUGAUGUAUUAAUUGAUGUCAUUUAAAGUUAAACUUUGCAGUGUAUAAUGUUUUAAUAAAAAAGCUAUGGCAAACACGUGCAUGACAA
Carassius gibelio (silver crucian carp) is the source of this 1181-nucleotide long non-coding RNA. RefSeq lists it as uncharacterized. NCBI's taxonomy places the organism in Eukaryota, Metazoa, Chordata, Actinopteri, Cypriniformes, Cyprinidae. The transcript is spliced from 2 exons. The record is from RefSeq and is a predicted model, not a curated record.